RNAcentral lists this ribosomal RNA (253 nucleotides) under uncultured prokaryote. Its description in RNAcentral is "partial 16S ribosomal RNA". It matches the Rfam family "Bacterial small subunit ribosomal RNA", at positions 524 to 776 of the family's 1533-position model. The record is from RNAcentral.
CACGGGGGGAGCAAGCGUUGUUCGGAAUCACUGGGCGUAAAGGGCGUGUAGGCGGUCAGGUUAGUGAGAUGUGAAACGCCUCGGCUCACCCGAGGACCUGCAUCUCAAACUGCCUGGCUUGAGUAUGGGAGAGGAUGAGGGAAUUCCUGGUGUAGCGGUGAAAUGCGUAGAUAUCAGGAGGAACACCUGCGGUGUAGACGGCUAUCUGGACCAUGACUGACGCUGAGGCACGAAAGCGUGGGUAGCAAACAGG